AAAGAUUAAGCCAUGCAUGUCUAAGUAUAAGCAACUAUACGGUGAAACUGCGAAUGGCUCAUUAAAUCAGUUAUCGUUUAUUUGAUAGUACCUUACUACAUGGAUAACCGUGGUAAUUCUAGAGCUAAUACAUGCUAAAAACCUCGACUUCGGAAGGGGUGUAUUUAUUAGAUAAAAAACCAAUGCCCUUCGGGGCUCCUUGGUGAAUCAUAAUAACUUAACGAAUCGCAUGGCCUUGCGCCGGCGAUGGUUCAUUCAAAUUUCUGCCCUAUCAACUUUCGACGGCUGGGUCUUGGCCAGCCAUGGUGA
Molecule: ribosomal RNA, 309 nt
Filed under: uncultured fungus
Lineage: Eukaryota; Fungi
Description: SSU rRNA
Rfam family: Eukaryotic small subunit ribosomal RNA
Source: RNAcentral